RNAcentral lists this small nuclear RNA (19 nucleotides) under Arabidopsis thaliana (thale cress). RNAcentral's name for it is "snRNA_13361". The record is from RNAcentral. Lineage: Eukaryota; Viridiplantae; Streptophyta; Magnoliopsida; Brassicales; Brassicaceae.
AUAGCCAAAGAGACUGCCU